AGGAUUCGCUUUUAAGAGUGUCGAGAUUCUAGCAUUAGCUUAUUAGGGUUUUUUUUAAUAAGAUUGAGAUGUGAGUAUUUUAGAAGUUGAUGAUAGAACUAGUGGGUGAAUUUUUUUUUUUAAUAGAAUGAGUUUUUGAUAGAAAUGCUGAUUAAAUUGAGGAGAUGAUGUAGUUUGUGUUUCCGAUAAAGGAAGCUUAAUUAUUUUUGAGACGAUUUAUAGUGUUAAGUUAAGAGGAUACCUGGCUAGAUAUAGAGCCGAGGUGAGUGAGUGAGACUUACUAUAGAGAUGAGUCGAAUUCAUGAGACAAUUAAAUUGUCGUUAGAUUUUGACUGAUUGAGAGGUCAUGUUUAAGUGAGAUUAAUUGAUUUUUUUUUAUGUGACCCACGUGAUGAUAACAGUUGAGAUCGAUUGAUUUAUAAUUUUCCUUGGACGUGUAACACAAAGAUGAUUUUUUUUAAAUGGUGAAUUAUGAUCUUGCUAUCUAUAUUAUAAUUUUUCCUAAUGGAAUUUCUAAGAAUUUAUUUUAAUGAGCUAGAUGUGAUGUGAAUUAGGUGUAUUCUAAUUAUGAUUAAUUAUUUGAUCACACUAUUAGAUGAUAUUGAUUUAUGGUUUUUAAUUAGCAAGUGAUUUUCUCUAACUUAGCUUUUCCUACAAGCUUGAUCUCAUUAAUUAGUGUAGUAUUGAGCAAGCCACAUGUGAGAGCUUUAAUUGUGCAUUAAUUAAUUGGAUGACUUAGUGGGCAAGUUGCAAGUGUGAGUAUUGAAGAAGCUACACUAGUAAAUUAGGGAGCAAGCUUAUGCUCUAAACAAAACUCAUUUUCUCUCUCUCUCUCUCCCCUCAUUCACACGCCCCUCACCCCUCUCUCAUCUCUCUCUCUUUCUUCCUUAAUCCUCCAUUGUUAACCAUUCUCAAAGCUUCAAAAAUCAUAUCUCCACCAUAGAUCUUCACUAAAUCAAAUCAAAACUUCAUUUCCUUUGAAUCAAGAGCAAGAUUGAUGGAGUUUCAAGCUUGAAGUUAGAGAGAAGAAUUUUUAUUUCUUUCAAAAUCCUUGAGUAAGUGAUGAAUCCUUUUAGAUCUAGACUUAAAUGUGUUGUAUAUGUGUAUAUAUGGAUAGAUCAAGCAAGAAAACACCCAUAUCCCUUCUUUGUGAUUUUCGAAAAUUUGGGUCUUUUACCCUUCAAAAAUUUUUCUUUCCUUUUCUUAAAUUGAUGUUAUUUAAAUACUAUUGGGUUCCUAAUUAGUCUAUUUCCAUGUGUAGAUAAUUGAAUUAAAAAGAGAUAUGAGAUUUGAAAUAGUUUAGUUUGUGUAAAUUUGGGAAGUUUUGUAUUUGAGGCUUGAUUGAUGAAUUGAUGGAUGAUAUAUGCUAUUGAGAGUGUUUAUAUGAGAUUUGAUGGAUUGGAUUGAUGGUUGAAAUUGAUUAGUAAUUUUUGAUAUGAGUUAGUUUGAUGUAAUUUGGGUAAAAUUGAUUCUAUGGUUUAAUUUAGGGGUUAUUGCCCCUAAAUACACAAACUAUGCUAAUUUGUAGUUUUAAGGUUGGCUUUAGAUUUUGCCUGUUUAUACAUUUUCAAAAAGUUUAGUUUGUUAAAAAUUGGGACUUUGUGAUCUAUGUGUUAAUUGAUUAAAUUGGCUAAGUUUAAUUGUUAUUAAGCAUGAUAGAAAUGAUAAUUAGGGAUCAAUUUGGUUAAUUGUCAAGAAUGCCUAAAAUUGGUUAAGUUUAGUUUGCUAGUAAUUGGGAACUUUUGAGUAAUGAAAUAAAUACUUGAAUUGAUGAUGUUUAUAUGAUAGUUAGACUACUAGCAAGGAGAAAGCAUGAUUAAAUUGGUUAAUGAUGUUGAUUUGUGAAAAUUUUCCGAGUUUAGUUUGCGUGCAUACAUGAGAUCCUGUAUAUAAGAUGAGUUAUGAGCCAAGCAUGUCUAUAUGUGGCUUUUUGAUGAUUAUUUGAGCUUAUAUAUGCAAUAUGAGACGAAACGGACCAACCCCUAAUGACCUAUGUGUUGGCCGAAUGUAGGGAGAAAAAGGGGAAGUCGAUGUUUGAAUUUUCUUGAGUUAUAUGAUUAUGUAUUUAUGUUAUUGUGUAUUAUAUGAGCUUAAUUUGAAUUUUUGAGAAUUUUGCAUCGAAGAAAUCCAAAGUCUAGGUAUAAUUGCUUGUAUGUUCAAGUUUGGAGUCAUUUUAUGACCUUUUAUACCUACUGUUUCGUUGGGUUCUUGUUACCUAAAGACCUUGAAAAUUUUAUGGUAAGAUUAAAUAAGAGUCAGGAGCAUACCGGUAAAAUUUCAAGUCAAUUGGACUUUGUUUACUAUUUUUAUAAAAUAGAAAACUAAAACUGCUACCUUCUGCCGAAAUGUUCGGUGAGUAUCCAAUAGAGUCACCUCUUCCAGUGUCCUUCCCUAACUUUUUGGAGCCUAAAUUUUUAUUUUUAAGACAUGAGUGUCUUAUCUAAGUACCCACCAAAUUUCAAGCCUUUUCGGCAACGUUUACUAUUUUUCAAAAAUCAAAGUUUUCAAUUGCUCAAAACUGCCGAAUAUGGUAGACUGUAGGAAAACAGUCAUAUCUCCUAAACUACUUGGAGUUUUUCAUCCUACUUUUUUUUGAAUGAAACUAGACUCAAAGAGGUUUUAAAUGGUAUAGGUCAUGACUCCAGUGGAGCUCUGUACCGAAUCUGGUGAAGUCUUUAAAUCGAGUCAGUGCAGAAUGAUGUUUGUUUGUGACAUGUCUAUGUGUGAAUUUAUAUGUUUAUGUGAUUAUGCUUGUUUAUGUGCUUGAUUGCUAUGGGUUUAAUUCGAGUUGAGUGUUAAGUCGAGAGUAGGACUUGUGAAUCCUUAGGAGUUAAGUAUACCUAGGGAUUGAGAUUUAUUUGGGUAAAUAGAAGAUGAGUGAUAAGUUAAAGUUUGAGACGAGAUUGGAUUUUAGUAAAUGAGUUUCUAACUGAGGUUUAUCUUAUCUCAUGAACCACUCCGACAUUGUGACAUCUGAAGAUACGAGCAGAGGACGGAGGUAAGAUCGUCCAAGUACUACGAGAGUAAGCUAAGUUUGUCAGGUGGGCAUUAUUUUGAUAUACCUAUUAUACGAGCUUUCUUAAAUGAUAUGAUAUUUAUGAUUAUGAAUUGAGUUAAUGUUAUGCUUGAAACUAAUUGACUUGCCGAGUUUUGUUAAUAAUGACUUGUGUGUUACCCUCUACUGUUGAGACGAAUUCGGUCCUGCCACAAGCGGGAUUUUGUGCACAGAGGUGACUGUGAGCCGUCUAUCGGGUCGGCCGGUCACGGUACUUGAGAGGGAGGCCUACUUCUCAGUACCUUUAAUGAUGAGUAGUGGAUGUGGUACAUACAUAAUGAAUGUUUAAACUGCGCAGUUACUUUAUUAUGAUGUUAUGAUUUGCAAAAUUGCAUGCACAUGUUCUUCUCUAACUAAAACCCUUGUGCGUUGCUUAAUGUGGCAAGUUCAAUUUAUAGCUCUAAGAGCAAGCUUUCUUUUGUUUUUCGGCAUAUGUACACUGAGUACUUUGUACUCAGCCCUGCAUGUAUUUCUAAAUGUGCAGGAUAAGCGAGCAGGAGGAAGAUCGGUCUGGUGCUGGCGGGGACUUAUUUUGGAUGACAUUGUUCCUUUUACCGUAUUUAUAUUACAUACGGUAGCUUUUUGAUGUCGAUGUUUAUAUUUUGGACUUAGUCAAGAAGUAUACUCUCGGCUAUAUGUCUUCAUACAUAUAGUCUGUUCACGUUUUGCUGCGAGACUCUGUAAAUUAUGAACCUUUGUGAAUUUUUAACUAUGUCCGCUUUGUAAACUUUGUCGAGAAUCCCUGUACUUUUGAACUUAUGAAGCCGAUAAUAUUUGUGUCUUUGAGAUGAUGUAAUUGUUAUUCACUUUUGCUUGUGUUGUUGUGAGCUUCCGCUUGUUGUUUGAUCUAGUUUUUCCUUCUUUACUUCAUUAUUUUAUUUAGUCGUAUUGAUACUCGGUCUACGCUAUCACUGGCUAGACGUCGGGCUGCGACACAGAUGGCUCAAAUAGUCACUGCUAUUAGCAAUCUAGAUCAGUCGCGCCAAUUCCCAAGCAAUACCGUGGUGAAUCCAAAAGAGCAGUGUAUGACCAAUGAGCUUGAAUGUGAUACAUCAUAUGAAGAGCCUCAAGCGAUAGAAGAAGAGCAAGAAGUUCGGAAAGUUGAGAUAAGCUUGAAGGAUGAAAAUUUUAAAAGUGUUGAAGAGCGCAAUGUCCUAAAUGUAGUCGACACUUGCAUCGACCAAGGGAAAUCAUUGAAGGCUUGUCUCUUUAGCUUUUAUCUAACUCCAUAUUUUGAUUUUAAUUUUGAUUCAUUUGAUGAACACUUUUUGGAGUGUGGUAGUACUUUUGAUUGUUCACAGGAUGGCCAUAGUUUUCAAGAAAUUUUGAAGGUUGGAAAACCACCUUAUCAUUGGUUCGCAACAGAUGAUGUACUCAAAUUUGAUGAAAAGUGGCCACCACCUACACCUGCUGGAUCGUCGAGCUAACGACGUUAAUAAUAACGCUUAUUGGGAGGCAACCCAAUCUUGGUUAGUUCGUUUCUUUUUGUUUGCUUGUUUGUUUUUGUACCCCACAAUUCCUUUUCAAACUUAUUCUCCUUGGUGGUGAAUAAGUUUGGGGGGAUGUGUCUUUGUGGGUGCACUUUUUGUUUUGGUUGUUUUUGUUUUGUCGUUGAGUUUGUUUUAGUCUUGCUUUGGUAGUUUCUCUGUGAUGUUACCUUGAUGAUGAUGUGAGUAGUGUAGAGAUUGGUUGGAUAACUGGCUCAUGAUGAUUUUUGUUUAAAACUUAUGGAAUUGCAUGCGUUUGUGUUGAUAUUGUUGUGAUUGAGCAUGAGUGAUGAAUGAUAAGCGUGGUCUCUAUGUGUUUGCAAUCAAUGAAAUAAGCUGUGAGGAUUUGAGCCUUGACUGUCAUUAUUUUACAGUCUUAUUUCUUAUUAUUGAGUGAUUGUUCAAGCAUGCAUGUUUCUCACUAGAACUUGUCUUGGUUUCUCCCUCGAGGUCACAUAGUGUGCUUAAUAACUUUGAGAUGAUAGAAGGCCAUCUUUGCUAGCCUAUUUAUCCCUUAUUUGUCCUAUAUCUUUAUAUGAUCCUAGUUCACCCCCUUUGAGCCUUAUUUUUCCUUAUUCUUUGAUUUAGCUAUGGGUGGGAGCUUGGAGAUUAUUUGAUAGGAGAUAAUUGGGUUGUGGAGAUGAAUGAUCAUGAGUUAUGUUUUGUGGUUUUAAAUUGAAAAUCCUAGUACCCUACAAGUUGUUGAAAAAAAAAAAAAAAAGAAUGGUGGAGAAAAGAAAAGAAAAUAAAAGAAAAAAAGAGAAAAGAAUUGAAAAAAAUGGGUAAAUAGGAUGCUUUAGAGAGACAUAAUGUCAUGAGAAAUAAUUGUUGAGUUGUGAUGGUUCUUGCCUUGAAAAAAUUUGGUUUUGUGAGAGGUGGAGGAUAGAAUUUAGUAAGAAUGCUAUGAGGUUGGUGAUUGAGCUACAUUGAGCCGUAUCUUUUAGUCACUUGGCCAAAUACAUCCUACCCUACCAAAGAGCCUACAUUACAACCCUCAAUAAAGACCUUUUUGAUCUUGGUUAUAGGAGCACACAUUUAGUGGUGGAGAGGUGAGACGAUUGACAAGCUUAUGGAUGAGUACUUGUUUAGCUUGAACUGAGCGUAUACACGUCCUUUUUGAUUGAUACACUUGAGAGUUGAGAGUUCUUAUUUUCUUUAUCCUUUUGGUGAGGAUUGCAAUUCAUUGAGACCAUAAUUUGAAUUUGUCAUGAGUGUGAUAUCUUGAUGAUUGGAGAUACAAAUGCAUGUUGGUAAUUUUGUUGACAAAUCUGAAGCCACAAUGUUAUCCACUUUUCUCUACGCUCUUGUUGAUUCAUUCUUAGUUCAUCUUGAUUUUGUCCGAGGACGGACAAUAGUUCAAGUUUGGGGGUUUGAUAAACAUGCAUUUUUACCUCUUGGUGUGUCAUUUUUUGAUGUUUAGUUAUGAGGAUUUUUGCGUGUUUGUUUGAUAUAUUUGAGCUUAUAUUGGUUUAUGGUCAAGAACUUGUCACUUGCUUGUGUUUGAACGUAUUUUUCAGAAAUAAAGAAGCAGAAUUUGGAAGAUUUGGCUGAAAUACAAGUUGUAGUUCGUCUCGAUAGGAGUUCGUGAGCGCAAACGGUUCAUAAAUCGGAGUUCGGACGAGGGAGAACGAGCCAAAACAAAAUCACUGCGCAAGGCCGCGCGAGGUCGCGCGGUCCAGUCGCGCGGCCGCGCACGAAGACAGAACUGCUGGACAGCGCGCGCUGGCGCGCGCGCGCGACCCGGCCGCGCGAGACGCCGUUUUUCCGCCCAAAAUUCGUUUUUUUAGUGAUUUUGGGUAUUUUUGAGAGCUACAAGACCUAGGGCAUAUAAAUACUCCACAAGAACUUAUUCUCUGCACAUUUUAUCACUUUGUAUCAUAUUUUACUUUUCCUGAGAGCUGAGAGAGACGGAGAACAGAGCAAGAGCAAGACUGAAGAUUCUCCAUUUUUACUACGGUUUUUCUUGUUGGAUGUUUAUUUGUUUUAUUGAGAAUUGAUUUCUAGUCAUAUGUCUAUGUGUGGCUAGAAUCCUUUUUCCCAGGGUUUAGGAAGUAGACAUGUUUUGAAUUUCUAAUUGUUUGAUUCAAUUAAUUGAGAUUGUUAUUUCUUUUUAUGUUCUUGUUAUAAUUGUUUGCUUUAUUGAUUGGCCACCAAUUUAGCAUAAUCAUAGGUUUUAAUUUGAUAUCGGGAGAUGAUAAUUAUUACCUAAACUAAGAACAUAGAACACAUUUAUUUUAAUUCUAAAGAGAAUUGAUAACUGUGAGGGCGUUAAUCCUAGGAACUUUUAGGAAUUACAUGUUAGAAGUGCGAUCCAGGGAUGGUAGCCUUGCAUGUAAUCAACGGUUUGUAUGCCACGGGAGUGGGUAUGAACUAACUUUGCGAUUGCCUUAGGAAUCAUCUUAUUAAUUGAAUUGAACAUGUUAGUUAGGAGAAUACUGUUGAAAACCUUUGCCUUGGAGAAAUUUUCUCUUAUCUGUUUCUCUGUUUCGCAGCUUGAUUUAUUUCUUUCCUGCUGUUUAUUUAUUUUGUCUUUACAACAAAAAAAAACUCUUGAUUUCGUUUGUCCAGAUAGAGUAGAAUAAUUUAGGAUAGGAAUUGGUAAAUUCAGUCUCUGUGGAAUACGACCUUGCUUGCUACUGUACACAAUUGCACCCGUACACUUGCGGCGUGUCAAAUAAAAUAGCGAACAAGUUUUUGGCGCCGUUGCCGGGGACUGAUUUUUAUCAGUACUAAUCUGUAGAUUGUUUGAGACUAAUCUGGAUUUUUUUUGUGUUAUUUUUAUUUAUGUUCUUUAUUUUUCUUUUGGUUCUUAUUUUUGGUUCUGGAGUUUUUCCAGGUAGUGCAUGAGCAGCUAUGGAGAUUUUUGAUAGCAUGGGCACUACAUGUUAUCAAUGGCCAGCCGAGAGGGUAUAUAAUUUGGAGAAUGUUGCUGCCACCACAAAUUCUGAUUCAGUUACUUUGUUAGCCACUCAAAUCGCUGCAUUGUCUUCCAAGAUAAAUGCUUUGAGUAUUACUAAGAUGGAGUCAGCUGUGAAAAAUAUCCGAUGAUGAUGGAAGAGGCAAAUUUUGUCAGCAAUUGGAAUUUUAGGAAUUUUGAGCAGGGUGGAUUUCAAAGAGUACAACAGGGAAACAAUCAGAGUUGGCAAUAGUUCUAUCAUGGAGGGUGCCCGAAUAACGCGCUUCAGGCUCCACCAGGCUUCUCUGUCACCAAUGGAGUCAUCAAUGAGGAGAAGAAGCCUAAUUUGGAAGAGCUGCUGAUGAAAUUUAUCUCCAAGUCAGAUGAGAGGAUGGAGAAGCUUGAGUCUACCACUGCUGCUUUAGGGACUCAGAUGAAGGUGUUUGAGACUCAGAUUGUAACACCCCGCAGUUUUCCAUACUAUUUAUUUUGAGGAUUCGCUUUUAAGAGUGUCGAGAUUCUAGCAUUAGCUUAUUAGGGAUGUAAUUUCUUUUUAUAAGAUUGAGAUGUGAGUAUUUUAGAAGUUGAUGAUAGAACUAGUGGGUGAAUUUUGUUUUAUAGAAUGAGUUUUUGAUAGAAAUGCUGAUUAAAUUGAGGAGAUGAUGUAGUUUAUGCUUCCGAUAAAGAAAGCUUAAUUAUUAUUGAGACGAUUUACAAUGUUAAGUUAAGAGGAUACCUGGCUAGAUAUAGAGCCGAGGUGAGUGAGUGAGACUUACUAUAGAGAUGAGUCGAAUUCAUGAGACAGUUAAAUUUUUGUUAGAUUUUGACUGAUUGAGAGGUCAUGUUUGAGUGAGAAAAAUUGAUAUUUUUUUUAUGUGACCUACGUGAUGACAUAUUUGAGAUUGUUUGAUUUAUAAUUUUUCUUGGAUGUUGUAACAUAGAGAUAAUUUUUUU
Molecule: long non-coding RNA, 8392 nt
Filed under: Salvia miltiorrhiza (redroot sage)
Lineage: Eukaryota; Viridiplantae; Streptophyta; Magnoliopsida; Lamiales; Lamiaceae
Description: long non-coding RNA (SMIL_LNC008467)
Source: RNAcentral